AACGAACGCUGGCGGCAGGCCUAAUACAUGCAAGUCGAACGGAUGUAGCAAUACAUUAGUGGCGCACGGGUGCCUAACGCGUGGGAACAUACCCUUGAGUAAGGAAUAAUGUCUGGAAACGGACACUAAUACCUUAUAAUGACUUCGGUCCAAAGAUUUAUCGCUCAAGGAUUGGCCCGCGUCUGAUUAGCUAGUUGGUGAGGUAACGGCUCACCAAGGCGACGAUCAGUAGCUGGUCUGAGAGGAUGAUCAGCCACACUGGGACUGAGACACGGCCCAGACUCCUACGGGAGGCGGCAGUAAGGAAUAUUGGACAAUGGAGGAAACUCUGAUCCAGCCAUGCCGCGUGAGUGAAGAAGGCCUUAGGGUUGUAAAGCUCUUUCAAUGGCGAAGAUAAUGACGGUAGCCAUAGAAGAAGCCCCGGCUAAAUUCGUGCCAGCCGCCGCGGUAA
RNAcentral lists this ribosomal RNA (451 nucleotides) under uncultured bacterium. RNAcentral's name for it is "partial 16S ribosomal RNA". It matches the Rfam family "Bacterial small subunit ribosomal RNA", at positions 29 to 523 of the family's 1533-position model. The record is from RNAcentral.